CGUAGUUGAAUUUCUGGUCGUGGCUACCGGUCCGCCCCUCACGGGGUGUGCACCUGGUCUCUGCGUCCAUCCUCGGGGAGAGCGCGUCUGGCAUUCAGUUGUCGGGCGCGGGAUCCUCGUCAUUUACUGUGAGCAAAAUAGAGUGUUCAAAGCAGGCUUAGGCCGUUGAAUACAUUAGCAUGGAAUAAUAAGAUAGGACCUUGGUCUAUUUUGUUGGUUUGCAUUCCAAGGUAAUGA
This 237-nucleotide ribosomal RNA is filed under the name uncultured eukaryote. RNAcentral's name for it is "partial 18S ribosomal RNA". It matches the Rfam family "Eukaryotic small subunit ribosomal RNA", at positions 629 to 868 of the family's 1831-position model. The record is from RNAcentral.